RNAcentral lists this ribosomal RNA (234 nucleotides) under uncultured bacterium. Its description in RNAcentral is "partial 16S ribosomal RNA". It matches the Rfam family "Bacterial small subunit ribosomal RNA", at positions 524 to 754 of the family's 1533-position model. The record is from RNAcentral.
UACGUAGGGGGCAAGCGUUUGUCCGGAUUUACUGGGCGUAAAGCGCGCGUAGGCGGGAGGUGAAGUCCGGUGGGAAAGCCCACGGCUCAACCGUGGAAGAACGCUGGAAACUCACCUUCUUGAGGGCGGCAGAGGGAAGUGGAAUUGCUGGUGUAGCGGUGAAAUGCGUAGAUAUCAGCAGGAACACCCGUGGCGAAGGCGGCUUCCUGGGGCCGCCCCCUGACGCUGAGGCGC